Caretta caretta (loggerhead turtle) is the source of this 3523-nucleotide long non-coding RNA. RefSeq lists it as uncharacterized. The record is from RefSeq and is a predicted model, not a curated record. Lineage: Eukaryota; Metazoa; Chordata; Testudines; Cheloniidae.
CGUUCCACCUCCAAGGCGCAUGCGCCGCUGAAGAAAAGGAGUCCGCCCCUUAGCAGCCGCAGUUUGGAAGCCCCACUAAUUCCAGCCGCGCAGUCCUCGGCCUCGAGAAGCCACCCCGGGGACACCAUCGUAGGACCUAACCACAUCAGCCACACCAUCAGGGCUUGUUCACCUGCACAUCUACCAAUGUGAUAUAUGUCAUCAUGUGCCAGCAAUGCCCCUCUGCCAUGUACAUUGGACAGUCUCUACACAAAAGAAUAAAUGGACACAAAUCAGACAUCAAGAAUUGUAACAUUCAAAAACCAGUAGAAGAGCACUUCAGUCUCCCUGGACACUCAAUAACAGACUUAAAAGUGGCAAUUCUUCAAUAAAAAAACUUCAAAAACAGACUUCAGUGAGAAACUGCAGAGCUGGAAUUAAUUUGCAAACUUGACACCAUCAAAUUAGGCCUGAAUAAAGACUGCGAGUGGCUGGGUCAUUACAAUUUUUUCCCCCUCUGUUGAUACUCGCACAUUCUUGUCAACUGUUGUGAAUAGGCCACAUCCACCAUGGUUGAAUUGGCCUUGUUAGCACUUCAAAAAGUAAUUUCCCCUCAGUUGAUAUUCACUCCUUCUUGUCCACUGGGAAAUGGGUGACAUAAGGCAACUCCCAUUUUUUCAUGUGCUGUGUAUUUAUACCGGCCUGCUGUAUUUUCCAUUCCAUGCAUGUGAUGAAGUGGGUUAUAGCCCACGAAAGCGUAUGCCCAAAUAGAUGUGUUAGUCUCUAAGGACUCACAAGGACUCCUCGUUUUUUUUAUGCUUGCAGUGUUCGACGUGGUAAGUCAGGGCUUGAUGUUUUCUUGUUAGGAUCACUAGGUACUUUUCAUUGUGUGCCCUAUUUCUGCAUGGAACCUUCAAAAUGGGGCACCUAAUUCAGUCCCAGCAAUUUCUUUUUAAAAUAUGCAUUUAAAUACAUCAUCAAUGCAGUGAUCAGACAUAUUUCUCUCCUUGUGUAGUUCUUCCAUUCAUUUAUUCAGAGUGAGCCAUAUGUGCUAUAAUAUGCUUCUUUGUAGAUUUCACUUUGUGGUGCAUAGCAAGAGAACAACAUAAGGAAGCAGGGGGAUAGGAAGGGGAAGAUGAAAUCACUGCCAUGCAUGAUUUGAGAAUACAAGCAACAUAAGACAAAAAAAGAAACAUAGACAAAAGAAACAAAAAUACUGAAAGGAAAUAGAUUGGAAAGAAGCAAGAAAAGAAAGGAGUCCAGUGACUUUUAGGUUAUAGGAUUGUGUUUUGCGUAUGCAGGUUGUUUCCUACAUCUUAGUGUAUUUUUCUGGUACAUAUCACCGCCAUACAUGUUGGCAAGAGGGUAGAAUGUUGUUAUUCUGGGGACUUCAGUUAAACUGCUGUUUACUACUGUAAUUAGAUCAAUGGAACAUGUAAUUUUUAAAAUCACAUGCUAUUUUAGCAGACACUUGCUUCUCUGAUGUUUAAGCCUAGACAGGAAUACAUGUGUUUUCCAAAGGUAGCGGGUAAAAUUUACAAAAAGGCCUGAAUGACUUACAGAAUCAUAGGACUGGAAGGGACCUCAAGAGGUCAUCUAGUCCAGUCCCCUGCACUCAUGUCAGGACUAAGUAUCUAGACCAUCCCUGACAGGUGUUAGUUUAACCUGCUCUUAAAAAUCUCCAGUGAUGGAGAUUCCACAACCUCCUUAGGCAAUUUAUUCCAGUGCUUAACCACCCUGGCAGUUAGGAAGUUUUUCAUAAUGUUCAGCCUAACCUCACCUUGCUGCAAUUUAAGCUCAUUGCUUCUUGUCCUAUCCUCAGAGGUUAAGAAGAACAAUUUUUUCCCCUCCUCCUUAUAACAACCUUUUAUGUACUUGAAAACUAUUAUUGUGUGUCCUCUCAGUCUUCUCUUUUCUAGGCUAAACAAACCCAAUUUUUUUCAAUCUUCCUUCAUAGGUCAUGUUUUCUAGACCUUUAAUAAUUUUUGUUCACUUUUUUUUCCAGGAGUGUUACACUGUUGACUCAUAUUUAGCUUGUGGUCCACUAUGAUCCCCAGAUCCCUUUCCGCAGUACUCCUUCCUAGGCAGUCAUUUCCCAUUUUGUAUGUGUGCAACUGAUUGUUCCUUCCUUAGUGGAGUACUUUGCACUUGUACUUGUUGAAUUUCAUCCUAUUUACUUCAGACCAUUUCUCCAGUUUGUCCAGAUCGUUUUGAAUUAUAAUCCUAUUUUCCAAAGCACUUACAACCCCUCCCAGGUUGGUAUCGUCCACAAACUUUUAAAGUGUAUUCUCUAUGCCAUUAUCUAAAUCAUUGAUGAAGACAUUGAUCAGAACCGGACCCAGAACUGAUCUCUGCGGUUCCUCACUCGUUAUGCCCUUCCAGCAUGACUGAACCACAGAUAACUAUUCUCAGGGAAUGGUUUUCCAACCACUUAUGCAUCCUCCUUAUAGUAGUUCCAUCUAGGAUGCAUUUCCGUAGUUUUUUUGUUUAUGCUCAAGUCCCAUUUUCAAAAGUAAGGUAGGCACUUAGGCUCUAAUCUACAGAAGUAUUUAGCUCCUUACUUGAUUUCUGGGUCUCAGCACCUCUAGUCAGUGGGACAUAGUCUCUGAAGUGGUAAAGUCACUUUUGAAAAUGGGACUUUGGCUUGGUCUACAGUCUGUUUGUACUGGUAUAACUAUUUCAGUUAGGGAUGUAAUUUUUUACUGAAGUGGUUAUAUCCGUACAAUUCCUUGUGUGGAUGCAGGUAUAUCAGUGUAUAGGUGCCUUAUACUGCUAUUGCUUAUUCCCCUUCCCUUGCCAUCUAUAAUUAUACCAGUAUAACUGCCCCCAUGCUGGGGAGGUGGAGGGCUGUACCACUUUAUCAAGGUAGAGUUAAAGCGGAACAACUUUUGUGUAUAGAGAAGCCCUUAGGCAUCUAAGUCACUUAGGUGCUUUUGAAAAUGUUGCCUAGCAUCUUUAGCAGUGUCCUUUCUUUACUAUGCCUCAUUUUUUUCAUGUGUUAAUUAAAAAUACAUGUUUCUGUAAGAAAACAGCAAUCAUGAUGAUUUACCAUUAGGAAAAUAUUUGCAGCGUAUUGUCAUACCAUGCCAAUUUGACUAUUCUACAUUUCUUUCAUUUUUCCCUCAUGUAGGUUAAAAUACAGCAAUAUGUUUUUCUCUAAUGACUUUAAGAUUGAUGUUACUUCUCUUUUUUGCUAUUUUUUUUAAAGUUUGCUACUAAUCACUGAAAGGAGUUAUAUGAAAACUCUUCCUACAGAAGCAGUAGUUUGUCUAAGUAUAUGAUCAUUUCCAUUUUAAUAUUUUUAUGAUUUAAUAAUUCUAGUGACAUCAAAAUAUAAACUAGUGAGGCAGCAAGAAUAGUGUCACACUUCAGUUCUGGGAACUAGUAAAGUCUUGGGUACAAAUCAAGGGCUUGUCUACUUUAGAAAGUUACACUAAUUUAGCUUGAAUUGAUGUAAACCAAUAUAUUUAAACUGGUGCAAAGGGCAAUGUGGAAACUCUCAUUUUGGUACAAUAGUGGUUCAUUAAAGAUAGCGUGCAUCAUC